CUGCUGCCUUCCGUAGGAGUCUGGACCGUGUCUCAGUUCCAGUGUGGCUGGUCAUCCUCUCAGACCAGCUAGGGAUCGUCGCCUAGGUGAGCCGUUACCCCACCUACUAGCUAAUCCCAUCUGGGCACAUCCGAUGGCAAGAGGCCCGAAGGUCCCCCUCUUUGGUCUUGCGACGUUAUGCGGUAUUAGCUACCGUCUCCAGUAGUUAUCCCCCUCCAUCAGGCAGUUUCCCAGACAUUACUCACCCGUCCG
Molecule: ribosomal RNA, 252 nt
Filed under: uncultured bacterium
Lineage: Bacteria
Description: partial 16S ribosomal RNA
Source: RNAcentral